CACGCAGGCGGUUAUUUAAGUGAGGUGUGAAAGCCCUGGGCUUAACCUAGGAAUUGCAUUUCAGACUGGGUAACUAGAGUACUUUAGGGAGGGGUAGAAUUCCACGUGUAGCGGUGAAAUGCGUAGAGAUGUGGAGGAAUACCGAAGGCGAAGGCAGCCCCUUGGGAAUGUACUGACGCUCAUGUGCGAAAGCGUGGGGAGCAAACA
RNAcentral lists this ribosomal RNA (207 nucleotides) under uncultured Haemophilus sp. RNAcentral's name for it is "partial 16S ribosomal RNA". It matches the Rfam family "Bacterial small subunit ribosomal RNA", at positions 568 to 774 of the family's 1533-position model. Lineage: Bacteria; Pseudomonadati; Pseudomonadota; Gammaproteobacteria; Pasteurellales; Pasteurellaceae. The record is from RNAcentral.